CUUUCCAGAUAAAGACAUAGGACUGGAAUUCAAGUGAUUUGCUUUGGAAAGCACAGCAAGUUGGUGUUCAUUCUCUAUUAGAACUUGUGUAGAGUAUUCAUAGAGACAGAGCACUACAGUUUACUUUUUAGCUUCCAUGGAAAUGAAACACUGAAAAACUAAAAAAAGAGAAAAACAGAAAGUAAGAGAAAUGUUAUUGAAAUUUUAUUUUAUUGUAUACUACUACAAGGAGGUUUGUAAAUAUUCUAAUUUUGGAGAACAACCUACAUUUUGGAGAGAUAUCCAUCAAUGUUAAUAAAUUAAAGGAAUUUCAUCUUAGAAAAUGAAAGGGCAUAUAGAUUAGAACAAAAAUAUUGAGGUUAUAAUACAAUUUUUAUAUCAUUGCCCCUGAAUGAUGCAUCUAAUAUUAAUGACUAGAUUGAUUUGGGGAAAUAUUGAAGUAAUCAGGAACUGCUUUAAAAAUAAAUGCAUCUACCUAAGUAAAUCACCUUUGCAUAAGAUAUACCAUUCUUUCCCAAUGUAGUAGAAUGAAUCCAUAUGUAGUAGAAUGAAAUUUAACUUCUAUCCAUCAACCUGUACAUAACUCAAAGUGAAUGAUUACCUAGAUCCAUGGAUACAACUAUAAACAUUCUUGUAGGUCUGUAUCUAGAAUUCCAUAUGAUGAUGAUUGUAUAGCUGCCUUCAAUGAUGGCACUUUUUUCCUCUGGC
RNAcentral lists this long non-coding RNA (708 nucleotides) under Marmota monax (woodchuck). The record is from RNAcentral. Lineage: Eukaryota; Metazoa; Chordata; Mammalia; Rodentia; Sciuridae.